Molecule: ribosomal RNA, 253 nt
Filed under: uncultured bacterium
Lineage: Bacteria
Description: partial 16S ribosomal RNA
Rfam family: Bacterial small subunit ribosomal RNA
Source: RNAcentral
UACGGAGGGUGCUAGCGUUGUUCGGAAUUACGGGGCGUAAAGGGCGCGUAGGCGGCCGUUUGCGUCGGAUGUGAAAGCCCGGGGCUCAACCUCGGAACGGCAUUCGAUACGGGACGGCUGGAGACCGGGAGAGGAGAGUGGAAUAGCCAGUGUAGAGGUGAAAUUCGUAGAUAUUGGCUGGAACACCGGUGGCGAAAGCGGCUCUCUGGCCCGGUUCUGACGCUGAGGCGCGAAAGCGUGGGGAGCAAACAGG